UUUUUGGUUAGCCGGGUGAGCGAAUAUUGGAAUAUUCUAAAUUUCAACAUGGAAAGAAAUAUGAGGUUGAAACCUAAGUGUUGUGUUCCAAAUUGUGAGGAUAGGACAUGCAAGCGUCAUCGGUUUCUGAAUCCAGAAAAAUAUCCUACUCUCUUCAAACUUUGGGUGGAAAAAGUGAAUAAUUCUAUCCUAAAAAAUAAAACACCACAACAGAUACGGAAAACAUAUCUUGUUUGUGAUAGACAUUUUCCAAAAAAUCACAAAACAGAGGGCCGAAAAGGACCCGUCCUGGUUUCUUCCUGAUGAAAGUGAUGAUGUUCUGGAAAUGCAAGAAUGUACGAAUGUUCCAGAGAUCCAUGAAGGCAACAAUGAUCUGAUGAUAGGGGAACCUCCUGGCUGUUCAAAUUCCAUCCACUUAUUGAGACGAGGAGCAGUCAAGAAAAGGGUGAUGAUGAACAUUCACGAAAAAAUUUUACUGAAAAGACUGACUUAUCAGAAUAGAAAAUAUAAUGUUUGGUUUUUUCAA
This is a long non-coding RNA of Coccinella septempunctata (seven-spotted ladybird), 526 nucleotides long. RefSeq lists it as uncharacterized. NCBI's taxonomy places the organism in Eukaryota, Metazoa, Arthropoda, Insecta, Coleoptera, Coccinellidae. The record is from RefSeq and is a predicted model, not a curated record. The transcript has 2 exons.